This is a long non-coding RNA of Macrobrachium nipponense, 234 nucleotides long. RefSeq lists it as uncharacterized. NCBI's taxonomy places the organism in Eukaryota, Metazoa, Arthropoda, Malacostraca, Decapoda, Palaemonidae. The record is from RefSeq and is a predicted model, not a curated record. The transcript is spliced from 3 exons.
CGGCGUCUACUAGCAAACCCCUAUGGACGCAAGUGCAGCAAGAGAAAGAGUUAACGGAGGUGAUGUCUGGUAGAUUCAAGCAAGAUCCUCCCAGUUCAGCCAGCUCUGACAGUGGAGGAGAGGAUAGUGCUGUGUCACAGAUGAAAGAGGAUGAGGCAAAUAUGGACAUGGGUGAGAAUGAGGAAACUCAGCCUACCACCCCGCGACCACCAUCAACUGGACCACAAUCCAACA